RNAcentral lists this ribosomal RNA (253 nucleotides) under uncultured bacterium. RNAcentral describes it as "partial 16S ribosomal RNA". It matches the Rfam family "Bacterial small subunit ribosomal RNA", at positions 524 to 776 of the family's 1533-position model. The record is from RNAcentral.
UACGAAGGGGGCUAGCGUUGUUCGGAAUUACUGGGCGUAAAGCGCACGUAGGCGGAAUGUUAAGUCAGGGGUGAAAUCCCGGGGCUCAACCCCGGAACUGCCUUUGAUACUGGCAUUCUCGAGUCCGGAAGAGGUGAGUGGAAUUCCGAGUGUAGAGGUGAAAUUCGUAGAUAUUGGGAAGAACACCUGAGGCGAAGGCGGGUUGCUGGGCCGACACUGACGCUGAGGCGCGAAAGCCAGGGGAGCGAACGGG